GAUCUGGUGAAGAUAAUGCUGUAUAAUAACAGGAUAAUGUGACAAUGUAGAAGGCUGGUUUGAGAUCUGGUGAUGAUAAUGUUGUAUAAUGACACUAUAAUGUGACAAUGUAGAAGGCCGGUUUGAGAUCUGGUGAAGAUAAUGUUGUAUAAUAACAGGAUAAUGUGGUCAAUGUAGAAGGCUGGUUUGAGAUCUGGUGAAGAUAAUGCUGUAUAAUAACAGGAUAAUAUGGUCAAUGUAGAAGGCUGGUUUGAGAUCUGGUGAAGAUAAUGUUGUAUAAUGACACUAUAAUGUGACAAUGUAGAAGGCUGGUUUGAGAUCUGGUGAAGAUAAUGUUGUAUAAUAACAGGAUAAUAUGGUCAAUGUAGAAGGCUGGUUUGAGAUCUGGUGAAGAUAAUGUUGUAUAAUGACACUAUAAUGUGACAAUGUAGAAGGCUGGUUUGAGAUCUGGUGAAGAUAAUGUUGUAUAAUAACAGGAUAAUGUGGAACAUAAACUGAUGGAACAUUUUAAUACAAAAGACACACAACAAACUAGUUGUUCCAGCUGGAACAGUCCGAUCAUGUAUAAACUACAGUCAACAGACUCAUUAAAGAGAUUCUCUGCUACUUUUUGUGUACUUUUUAGCCAGUAGUGCUGAUAGUAACACUCACAAGUCAAAAGUGGUCCCUGAAAAUGUUGUACUACAUCACAUAUGUUCACCACGUCAUCUCUCUCUCUGCUGUGGCGCGCCCUGCAACCUCAUUGGAUAACCCUGGGCUGGCUUCUUGCAAGCUGUCACUCAAAUACGAGUGGCUGAAGCUCAUGAGAUAGAACUCUAAUUGCCAGGGAAAUGGAGGGGAAAUGGCGCGGCACAGUUUCAACAAAUUGUCGCUUUCCAACUUUUUGUGGAUUUUUGAGGUAAGACAGUGAUUAUGCAUGAAUUAACUACAUACUGAAACAUCCAGCCCAAAGUGUGAGGUUGAAAACCUCAAUUACAUAAUUACCUAUCUACUAACCGCACAUUGACUCUGUACCGGUAACCCCUGUAUAUAGCCUCCACAUUGACUCUGUACCGUAACACCCUGUAUAUAGCCUCCACAUUGACUCUGUACCAGUACCCCUGUAUAUAGCCUCCACAUUGACUCUGUACCGGUAACCCCUGUAUAUAGCCUCCACAUUGACUCUGUACCGUAAUACCCUGUAUAUAGCCUCCACAUUGACUCUGUACCGUAACACCCUGUAUAUAGCCUCCACAUUGACUCUGUACCGGUACCCCCUGUAUAUAGCCUCCACAUUGACUCUGUACCGUAAUACCCUGUAUAUAGCCUCCACAUUGACUCUGACCCGUAAUACCCUGUAUAUAGCCUCCACAUUGACUCUGUACCGUAACACCCUGUAUAUAGCCUCCACAUUGACUCUGUACCGGUACCCCCUGUAUAUAGCCUCCACAUUGACUCUGUACCGUAACCCCCUGUAUAUAGCCUCCACAUUGACUCUGUACCGUAAUACCCUGUGUAUAGCCUCCACAUUGACUCUGUACCGUAAUACCCUGUAUAUAGCCUCCACAUUGACUCUGUACCGGUACCCCCUGUAUAUAGCCUCCACAUUGACUCUGUACCGUAACACCCUGUAUAUAGCCUCCACAUUGACUCUGUACCGGUACCCCCCUGUGUAUAGCCUCCACAUUGACUCUGUACCGUAAUACCCUGUGUAUAGCCUCCACAUUGACUCUGUACCGUAAUACCCUGUAUAUAGCCUCCACAUUGUCUCUGUACCGUAAUACCCUGUAUAUUGCCCCACUAUUGUUAUUUACUGCUGAUCUUUAAUGUGUUAUUCUUAUCUCUUACUUUUGUGGUAUUUUCUGCAUUGUUGGUUAAGUGCUUGUAAGUUCUACACCUGUUGUAUUCAGCAUUUCACUGUAAGGUCUACUACACCUGUUGUAUUCAGCAUUUCACUGUGAGGUCUACUACACCUGUUGUAUUCAGCAUUUCACUGUAAGGUUAUACACCUGUUGUAUUCAGCAUUUCACUGUAAGGUUCUACACCUGUUGUAUUCAGCAUUUCACUGUGAGGUCUACUACACCUGUUGUAUUCAGCAUUUCACUGUGAGGUCUACUACACCUGUUGUAUUCAGCAUUUCACUGUGAGGUCUACUACACCUGUUGUAUUCAGCAUUUCACUGUGAGGUCUACUACACCUGUUGUAUUCAGCAUUUCACUGUCAGGUCUACUACACCUGUUGUAUUCAGCAUUUCACUGUAAGGUCUACUACACCUGUUGUAUUCAGCAUUUCACUGUAAGGUCUACUACACCUGUUGUAUUCAGCAUUUCACUGUAAGUUCUACAGCUGUUGUAUUCAGCAUUUCACUGUAAGGUCUACUACACCUGUUGUAUUCAGCAUUUCACUGUAAGGUCUACUACACCUGUUGUAUUCAGCAUUUCACUGUAAGGUCUACUACACCUGUUGUAUUCAGCAUUUCACUGUAAGUUCUACAGCUGUUGUAUUCAGCAUUUCACUGUAAGGUCUACUACACCUGUUGUAUUCAGCAUUUCACUGUAAGUUCUACAGCUGUUGUAUUCAGCAUUUCACUGUAAGGUCUACUACACCUGUUGUAUUCAUCAUUCCACUGUAAGGUCUACUACACCUGUUGUAUUCAGCAUUUCACGGUAAGGUUCUACACCUGUUGUAUUCAGCAUUUCACUGUAAGGUCUACUACACCUGUUGUAUUCAGCAUUUCACUGUAAGGUCUACUACACCUGUUGUAUUCAGCAUUUCACUCUAAGGUCUACUACACCUGUUGUAUUCAGCAUUUCACUGUGAGGUCUACUACACCUGUUGUAUUCAGCAUUUCACUGUAAGGUCUACUACACCUGUUGUAUUCAGCAUUUCACUGUAAGGUUCUACACCUGUUGUAUUCAUCAUUCCACUGUAAGGUCUACUACACCUGUUGUAUUCAGCAUUUCACUGUAAGGUCUACUACACCUGUUGUAUUCAGCAUUUCACUGUGAGGUCUACUACACCUGUUGUAUUCAGCAUUUCACGGUAAGGUUCUACACCUGUUGUAUUCAGCAUUUCACUGUAAGGUCUACUACACCUGUUGUAUUCAGCAUUUCACUGUAAGGUCUACUACACCUGUUGUAUUCAGCAUUUCACUGUAAGGUCUACUACACCUGUUGUAUUCAGCAUUUCACUGUAAGGUCUACUACACCUGUUGUAUUCAGCAUUUCACUGUGAGGUCUACUACACCUGUUGUAUUCAGCAUUUCACUGUGAGGUCUACUACACCUGUUGUAUUCAGCAUUUCACUGUAAGGUCUACUACACCUGUUGUAUUCAGCAUUUCACUGUGAGGUCUACUACACCUGUUGUAUUCAGCAUUUCACUGUAAGGUCUACUACACCUGUUGUAUUCAGCAUUUCACUGUAAGGUCUACUACACCUGUUGUAUUCAGCAUUUCACUGUGAGGUCUACUACACCUGUUGUAUUCGGCAUUUCACUGUAAGGUCUACUACACCUGUUGUAUUCAGCAUUUCACUGUGAGGUCUACUACACCUGUUGUAUUCAUCAUUCCACUGUAAGGUCUACUACACCUGUUGUAUUCAGCAUUUCACUGUAAGGUCUACUACACCUGUUGUAUUCAGCAUUUCACUGUGAGGUCUACUACACCUGUUGUAUUCAGCAUUUCACUGUGAGGUCUACUACACCUGUUGUAUUCAGCAUUUCACUGUGAGGUCUACUACACCUGUUGUAUUCAGCAUUUCACGGUAAGGUCUACUACACCUGUUGUAUUCAGCAUUUCACUGUGAGGUCUACUACACCUGUUGUAUUCAGCAGUUCACUGUAAGGUCUACUACACCUGUUGUAUUCAGCAUUUCACUGUAAGGUCUACUACACCUGUUGUAUUUCAGCAUUUCACUGUGAUGUCUACUACACCUGUUGUAUUCAGCAUUUCACUGUAAGGUCUACUACACCUGUUGUAUUCAGCAUUUCACUGUGAGGUCUACUACACCUGUUGUAUUCAGCAUUUCACUGUGAGGUCUACUACACCUGUUGUAUUCAGCAUUUCACUGUAAGGUUCUACACCUGUUGUAUUCAGCAUUUCACUGUAAGGUCUACUACACCUGUUGUAUUCAGCAUUUCACUGUGAGGUCUACUACACCUGUUGUAUUCAGCAUUUCACUGUAAGGUUCUACACCUGUUGUAUUCAGCAUUUCACUGUAAGGUUCUACACCUGUUGUAUUCAGCAUUUCACUGUAAGGUCUUCUACACCUGUUGUAUUCAGCAUUUCACUGUAAGGUUCUACACCUGUUGUAUUCAGCAUUUCACUGUAAGGUCUACUACACCUGUUGUAUUCAGCAUUUCACUGUGAGGUCUACUACACCUGUUGUAUUCAGCAUUUCACUGUAAGGUCU
This is a long non-coding RNA of Oncorhynchus tshawytscha (Chinook salmon), 4389 nucleotides long. The record is from Ensembl. NCBI's taxonomy places the organism in Eukaryota, Metazoa, Chordata, Actinopteri, Salmoniformes, Salmonidae.